CCUACGGGAUGCAGCAGUGGGGAAUAUUGCACAAUGGGGGGAACUCUGAUGCAGCGACGCCGCGUGGGUGAGGAAGUACUUCGGUAUGUAAAGCCCUAUCAGUAGGGAAGAAAAUGACGGUACCUGACUAAGAAUCCCCGGCUAACUACGUGCCAGCAGCCGCGGUAAUACGGAGGAGGCAAGCGUUAUCCGGAUUUACUGGGUGUAAUGGGAGCGUAGACGGCGUGCCAAGUCUGAUGUGAAAGGCCGGGGCUCAACCCCGGGAGUGCAUUGGAAACUGGCAUGCUGGAGUGCCGGAGGGGCAGGCGGAAUUCGUGGUGUAGCGGUGAAAUGAGUAGAUAUUAGGAAGAACACCGGUGGCGAAGGCAGCUUACUGGACGAUAACUGACGUUGAGGCUCGAAAGCGUGGGGAGCAAACAGGAUUAGAUACCCGUGUAGUC
RNAcentral lists this ribosomal RNA (440 nucleotides) under uncultured bacterium. Its description in RNAcentral is "partial 16S ribosomal RNA". It matches the Rfam family "Bacterial small subunit ribosomal RNA", at positions 338 to 795 of the family's 1533-position model. The record is from RNAcentral.